Molecule: ribosomal RNA, 468 nt
Filed under: uncultured bacterium
Lineage: Bacteria
Description: partial 16S ribosomal RNA
Rfam family: Bacterial small subunit ribosomal RNA
Source: RNAcentral
UCCUCCCUCUGGCGGCGUGCUUAACACAUGCAAGUCGAACGGAAAGGCCCUGCUUUUGUGGGGUGCUCGAGUGGCGAACGGGUGAGUAACACGUGAGUAACCUGCCCUUGACUUUGGGAUAACUUCAGGAAACUGGGGCUAAUACCGGAUAGGAGCUCCUGCUGCAUGGUGGGGGUUGGAAAGUUUCGGCGGUUGGGGAUGGACUCGCGGCUUAUCAGCUUGUUGGUGGGGUAGUGGCUUACCAAGGCUUUGACGGGUAGCCGGCCUGAGAGGGUGACCGGCCACAUUGGGACUGAGAUACGGCCCAGACUCCUACGGGAGGCAGCAGUGGGGAAUAUUGCACAAUGGGCGGAAGCCUGAUGCAGCAACGCCGCGUGCGGGAUGACGGCCUUCGGGUUGUAAACCGCUUUCGCCUGUGACGAAGCGUGAGUGACGGUAGUGGGUAAAGAAGCACCGGCUAACUACGUG